This 254-nucleotide ribosomal RNA is filed under the name uncultured bacterium. RNAcentral's name for it is "partial 16S ribosomal RNA". It matches the Rfam family "Bacterial small subunit ribosomal RNA", at positions 524 to 776 of the family's 1533-position model. The record is from RNAcentral.
UACGUAGGGACCGAGCGUUGUCCGGAAUCAUUGGGCGUAAAGAGCGUGUAGGCGGCCACCGCAAGUCGACUGUGAAAUCUCCGGGCUUAACCCGGAAAGGUCAGCCGAUACUGCGGGGCUAGAGUGCAGAAGGGGCAACUGGAAUUCUCGGUGUAGCGGUGAAAUGCGCAGAUAUCAGGAGGAACACCAAUAGCGAAGGCAGCUCGCUGGGACGGUACUGACGCUGAGGCGCGAAAGCGUGGGGAGCGAACAGG